This is a long non-coding RNA of Brachypodium distachyon (stiff brome), 4701 nucleotides long. RefSeq lists it as uncharacterized. NCBI's taxonomy places the organism in Eukaryota, Viridiplantae, Streptophyta, Magnoliopsida, Poales, Poaceae. The record is from RefSeq and is a predicted model, not a curated record. The transcript has 2 exons.
CCUAGGCUGGGUCCUCUCCUCUACUCUCCGGUAGCACCUCUUCCAUGGCUCCAUCCUCUCCAAACCUCCGCACGCCUGCAGCAUUGCAGUGCCCGCCGCCGCCGAGAAACCCUGUCCAACGCCAUCUCCGCCUCCCCGCCUCCUCACGCCGCCAUCAAAAUCUCGCCCAGGGGCACUCUAGCCCCAAUCGUCGCCACCUCUGCUCCGGCCACAAGUACACCCGGUCUUUCUUUUUCCCCCUCCCUCCUUCUCUCAGCAAGUCAGCACGCUCCAGUUCCUGACGGUAAUGUGUGGACGUGUGGUAUUGGUCCCAAAACGGUUUGAUUGAUAAAGCUUUGAACAUACAGUGGUCAGAGACUUCAAAUUAGAUAAUUUUACAGUCGAUUGGUCUAGCCAGGGAGGGCAGGAUCCUUGAUUGGAAGAAACAGGAGUAACAUGGAGAUGCUUAUUUUUUUGUAUUGAAAUUUUCAGGCAUUACUCAGGUAGCCGGGCAUAAUACUGUAUAAAUCUUUAUUUUGUUCCAAGCUGCAAGUGAAUAUUAAAUACCAUAUAUCCUGCCCUAUGUUUCUGAAUACUGCAUUUUGCUUACAUUUUUGCAAUUAAGAAUCAGUCAUAUAGAAGCCAAUUACAUUCGACCAAUCCCAAAAGAUAGUACAGGAGCAAUAGAAGUUUGCUUCAAUACAGUUGUGGGCUGUGGCUGUUACAUAUGACCAAGGAGCAAUAGCAAGUUUUUUCUUAUAUCAACCCAAAAGAUAGAACUGAGUGCAGGAAAAUCAUCAUUGUGGCGUCAGUUAGGAAUUUUCAUUGGUUCUUCAGUGAAGGAAUUGUAGUUCUUUCUUCUUCUUCAUAUUUAUCUAUGGAGAUAUAUAGAGCUUGGCUAACGAUCGCUCAACUAAGUUCUUUCUUCUUCAGAUUUAGCUAUGGGAAUUGUAGUUCCAUAUCUAUGGGCUCGAUCUGUCAUCAUAUCGAUUUCACGUGGAGCGGAAUCUGUACUCCCAUGUCUGUUGGUGGUGUAGGAUGAUCAUAUAUUUUGACCCUGCAAUUAAUCAGUGUAAGUGUUCUUUGUUUUAACAUUUCGCUCAACCAAGUGGAUUUGUUCUGGUUUCAGCUCCCACGCCUAUGUGGAAGUAUGAUAUUUGUGAGUUUCAGUUAAGAGAAGUUGAGGAUUCAAUUUCUUUGAUUAAUCAUAGAAUGAUAUUGGUGAGUUUCAGUUAAGAGCAGUCAACCAUUCAAUUCUUUGAUAAUCAUAGUAUGAUAUUGGUGUGUUUCAGUUAAGUGCAGUCAAGAAUUCAAUUUCUUUGCUAAUCAAAUAUAUACGUUUAUAGGUAACCAUUCAUAUAAUAUUCUCUUCUUUUAUUAACAGAAUCUGGAGGGAGUUUUGCGAAGUAGCCUUUUUACAUAAUGUUCACAUAGAUAAAUAUUUACCCUUGUAACUGUUAAAGUUGCUCUAUACGUGUGCUUCGGUCUGAUGAUUGUAUUUCUUUUUGUGUCUACCACCGAGUAAUUGUUUUGGAGACGAAAAUAUUUCAGUACAACAUCUCGAGACCUAAACUAUUAUAUUGCAUAUAAUGCGGUUGUAUGAGCUCCAUCACUGUUUGUGCAAUUAUGAGAGAAAUUACCUCGGAUUUAGCAUACUAGAGAUAUGCUGAGAUCAACCUCUUGAUCUAUGUACACAAUGUAGUGCUUCAUAUGGACCACCAAAUCCUGCCUAUUUGCAGUGCACAAGAUGUCAUGGAUAUGGAUAAAAUAGAAGUUAAUAAAGUACAAAAUCAUUUUGGGUGCUAUGAAAUUCGUCCAAACCAUACCACUCUAUAUGUUUGUUUUAUUUUUUUAUCCAUGAUUAAUUUAGUUGAAAAUUGAAUUUAUUUUAUUAACCUGUUGUGUCUUGCAUAAUAAAUUUAUUUCUUUGGUAAGUUUUUGUCUGACAGAUCUUAAUUACUGGCCUUCAGGUUAGCAUGUCCAUCAUGUUCUUGUGUUUUGAAGCUGCCAUGGAUUCAGUUUAUGCUACAAAUUCCUACAGUACACUUAACAAUAAUUAAUGUAUGCCCCCAUUUUCUUGCCUGACAUCUAGAGUUCAAUUUGAGUUUGAAUAAAUAAUUUAAUCACAGAUAGAAAAGGAAGUGAGAGAACUGCAUGUCAUGGUGUAGGGAGCCCAAUCAGUUCAAUACAUGAUUCAUGUGAGCAAAAUCAGUUUUUUUGUUAUGUUGCCUCGAUGUAUGUCUGAUGGCUUCAAGCCUGCUUGUCAUAUUUGCAGUGUAAGCAUCUGUGUACAUCUGAAAAUGCAUAUUUAAAGAGGAGGUUGCUGACAACAAAUGUUGGGUGGCAACUCUAUGUUUCUUGGCACUUCUCUUCAUGUUUGCUGCAAUCAGAGAAGGGAAAGACAAGCAGUCAAGGAGGGUACAAGAUGAAUGCAUAUGAAGAAAAAGAACAUGCUAUAAAGCUUCUAAAAGCAAUGCUGACCCAGAGAUUCUUAAUGGGGUUUUAAGGUGCGAUGGAUAUAGGUAAAAAUUAACUACUCCCUCCGUCCAACAAAAGAUGUCUCAAGUUUGUCAAAAUUUGGAUGUAUCUAGACAUGACUUAGUGUAUAGAUGCAUUCAAAUUUAGACAAAGUUGACGCAUCCUUUGUUGGACAGAGGAAGUAUAAGCAUUCAAAUGUUCAAUACCAUAGUUUGGUUCCAGUCUGCAGCAUCAGGUAGGUAUGUCAUCAGGUAUGCCAUCGCUGUUAAUAUUUGAAUCUGUAUAACUUAUUCUAUAAAAUGUUUAUAUUGGGAUGUACAUAUUUGAAAUCAUUCAGAGUCGCCUUCGAGGUCGACUCAUGAAUGAGAAUGAGAUGAGAUGGAAUUUUCAAAUGUUUUGUCAACAUUUUGUUUCAAUGGCUAGGGAAAAGUUAGAAAAUGUUUGUCAACAUACUAUAACUAUACCCAUUACCCAGUAAUCAGGUAGAUAUUUACAUAAUUAAGGAAAAGUCGGUUCAGAAGAACUGCAAGAACAUGACAAACUCUUAGACUAUGAAUUUUACAAGUUAAAUAUGAAGCACAAAAAGAGUUCUUUUGUGCUUUUGUCGGAUCUCAGACAACCAGCGCCGUUGUGACUCUCUCUAUCUCUCUCUCUCUCUACGUGCGCCGUCGCUGUGACUCUCUCUCUGUCGAUCUCUAAGUGCGCCCUGGAUGCGCGCAUCUGCCGGCGGUCGGCGCCUCAACUCAGCCGCAAACCCUAUAUGUCUUUUUAUCUGCCGUUCCGUCCCACCGUCUCAGAGACUCAGACCCGCCGAAUACGCGCGCUUCAUGUGCAGGUACCGGCGGCCUUCGCUGUCUCCUCCUAACCCCUCGGGGUCAUGCAGCAACAUGUACAUGCACUUGGGAAAGGCCCAGCCGGAUUGGUUUGUGGCAUUAAUCUGCAUAUGUUGUGGCUGCUCAACUACACACUUUCAAAUGCCAUCUCAAGGUCGCCAGCGGCCGCUACUAUACUGUCAAUCGGUCCGUAUCCAUGAUCCAGGUAUCUUCUUACUUUCUUGUGAUUUUUGAGUUAUUGGUCUUAUAUAUCUAUUAGUGGUUAUUCUGGACAAAGUGGGCUGUCUAGCAGAUUGAAAACAAAUUUCAUUCUCAUUAUAUUCUGACCUGAGAUUCUUAUGGAGUACUAAGGACAUACAUAUAGAAUGCCCUUCUGAUUAAUUAAUAUAACAACCUUAAAAGGUUGAUAUAACACUCUUUCAUCCCAACUAUUCUUACGCCAAUGGCAGAUAAUUCGAUUACCCUUUUUCCAUGUCCUGUCCGACAUGGCUCAGGCAUUCUCCUCUCCUCGCUGCUGCCUUCGAGAACCUUGAGAUGCUCACCCUCAUCAACCUCCCAUAUAGUCUCGGCCAGGUACUAAUAUAUGUAUAGUAUGUAUGGGCUCUAGAAUAUGAGGCAACUCGUAGAGUCAUCGCUUUCUGAUACGAUUGCCUUCAGAGCUUAAGAAUUUAUCAAUAUUGUGUUGUCACGCUUCCUCUUGAUUAUUGACUAUUGUGCUCUGCUACGGCAUUAUACAACGCAAGAAAGGAGUUUUUGAGGUAAGCGUUCGCUCUAAUGAGGCAUCCCACAUUAUUCCUCAUGUUAUGUGCAUGUAUGUAAGACUCGGUAAAAUAUUAAUUUCAUGAUUUAAGUUUGGCACAUAAUAUAUCAAUUGACAUUUCAGGCGUUCAAUAUCGUACUUAAUGACUUGAGCAAAGGAUUCUGAAGCUCCCAUUAGACCAGUCGUAUAAAAAUGCUAAAUAGAGUUUCUCCGCAACAUGAUGCAACUGGAUAUCCUAUAACAUCUGCAGUUGAAAGCACUUCACGUGUAGAGAUACAAUAUUUUUCUUUGUACAAAUUUUACAUUUCUUAAUAGCAUAUAUUCAGUAUACAGGCUUUAACUUUUUUUUUGGAAAAGACACAUUUGAUCAUAUUUUGGAACCAACUUUGCAAUUUGACAUAUACUAUCACCAUGAACAUAAUAUUCACAAUUUUCUUGAGCAGGUGUAGAGGAGAGACAAUAAAUGUUACUAUGGCACCAUGUGUGUAAAUCUAUGUUUCUUUUGCAUCGAACAACAAAAUGAUUUUAUUCUGUCGUGAAGUAUUUAUUAUGCCAUUUAGAAGUCACUGCAUUUUUGUUUUGCUCUUGCACUCAUUUGUUGCGGAAAUGUACCUUUCAGAGUCAAAUUGUUAUAGCAUCUUCUUGUAUGUA